CGGUAUUAGACCUGGUAUUAAAACGCUAAGCUUAUAUAUAGCUUGUUUCCGUUGACUCUAUUUGCUUGCUUUGGGAGCAAGAUGCCGCAGGUUCAAAUCCUGUCAUCCCGA
Molecule: transfer RNA, 111 nt
Filed under: Oscillatoria sp. FACHB-1406
Lineage: Bacteria; Bacillati; Cyanobacteriota; Cyanophyceae; Oscillatoriales; Oscillatoriaceae
Description: tRNA-Pro
Source: RNAcentral